AUUGAACGCUGGCGGCAGGCUUAACACAUGCAAGUCGAACGAGUGGCGGACGGGUGAGUAAUGCUUUGGAAUCUAGCUUAUGGAGGGGGAUAACUCCUGGAACCUUUAGCUAAUACCGCGUACAAUUGGAUGAGCCCACGUGGGAUUAGAUAGUUGGUGGGGUAAAGGCUCACCAAGACGACGAUCGCUAGCUGGUCUGCGAGGAUGACCAGCCAAACUGGGACUGAGACACGGCCCAGACUCCUACGGGAGGCAGCAGUGGGGAAUAUUGCGCAAUGGGGGCAACCUGACGCAGCCAUGCCGCGUGAAUGAAGAAGGCCUUCGGGUUGUAAAGUUCUUUCGGUAGCGAGGCGUUAACUACAGAAGAAGCACCGGCUAACUCCGUGCCAGCAGCCGCGGUAAUAC
Molecule: ribosomal RNA, 405 nt
Filed under: uncultured bacterium
Lineage: Bacteria
Description: partial 16S ribosomal RNA
Rfam family: Bacterial small subunit ribosomal RNA
Source: RNAcentral